This 87-nucleotide transfer RNA is filed under the name Achromatium sp. WMS2. It matches the Rfam family "tRNA". Rfam says of the family: Transfer RNA (tRNA) molecules are approximately 80 nucleotides in length. The record is from Rfam by way of RNAcentral. Lineage: Bacteria; Pseudomonadati; Pseudomonadota; Gammaproteobacteria; Thiotrichales; Thiotrichaceae.
GGAGAGGUGCCAGAGUGGCCGAAUGGGCUUGACUCGAAAUCAAGAGAUCCUUUACUGGAUCCCAGGGUUCGAAUCCCUGCCUCUCCG